GACGAACGCUGGCGGCAUGCCUAAUACAUGCAAGUCAAACGGACCGAAGGGAAAGCUUGCUUUCCUGGAAGUCAGUGGCGAACGGGUGAGUAACACGUAGGUAACCUGCCCAUGUGCCCGGGACAACGCCUGGAAACGGGUGCUAAAACCGGAUAGGUAGAGAGAUCGCAUGAACUUUCUAUUAAAGGGGCUACGGCCCUGAACAUGGAUGGACCUGCGGUGCAUUAGAUAGUUGGUGAGGUAACGGCCCACCAAGGCGACGAUGCAUAGCCGACCUGAGAGGGCGAACGGCCACAUUGGGACUGAGACACGGCCCAAACUCCUACGGGAGGCAGCAGUAGGGAAUUUUCGUCAAUGGGGGGAACCCUGAACGAGCAAUGCCGCGUGAGUGAAGACGGUCUUCGGAUUGUAAAGCUCUGUUGCGAGAGAAAAACGACACGGAUAGGGAAUGAUCCGUGGGUGAUGGUAUCUCGCCAGAAAGUCACGGCUAACUACGUGCCAGCCGCCGCAGUAA
Molecule: ribosomal RNA, 514 nt
Filed under: uncultured bacterium
Lineage: Bacteria
Description: partial 16S ribosomal RNA
Rfam family: Bacterial small subunit ribosomal RNA
Source: RNAcentral